This 371-nucleotide ribosomal RNA is filed under the name uncultured organism. Its description in RNAcentral is "partial 16S ribosomal RNA". It matches the Rfam family "Bacterial small subunit ribosomal RNA", at positions 527 to 896 of the family's 1533-position model. The record is from RNAcentral.
GUAGGUGGCAAGCGUUGUCCGGAAUUAUUGGGCGUAAAGCGCGCGCAGGCGGUCCUUUAAGUCUGAUGUGAAAGCCCACGGCUCAACCGUGGAGGGUCAUUGGAAACUGGGGGACUUGAGUACAAAAGAGGAAAGCGGAAUUCCAAGUGUAGCGGUGAAAUGCGUAGAGAUUUGGAGGAACACCAGUGGCGAAGGCGGCUUUCUGGUCUGUAACUGACGCUGAGGCGCGAAAGCGUGGGGAGCAAACAGGAUUAGAUACCCUGGUAGUCCACGCCGUAAACGAUGAGUGCUAAGUGUUAGGGGGUUUCCGCCCCUUAGUGCUGCAGCUAACGCAUUAAGCACUCCGCCUGGGGAGUACGGCCGCAAGGCUG